AUGGUGGUUUCGGACCUAAUCAAUCCUGUCACCCGAUCAUGGAACAAGCAAGCCCUAACUGAGAACUUCAUACCUGCUGAUGUCGAGGUUAUUCUCAACAUACCACUUAGUACAAGGCAACAAGAGGACUUCUGGGCUUGGCAUUAUGAUAAGCGAGAUUCUCCAUCUUGUUCUAUAUGUGGAGCGGAGGAGGACACUUGGCGCCACUCGCUACUAAUCUGCCGCAUGGCAAGAUGUGUUUGGGCUUUGGAGGAUGAUGAACUGGUCGAGCAUGUGAUAUCAAACCAAACCGAAGAUGCGAGGCUUUGGCUGUUUUGGCUGUUUGAGACGACAAAUCAACAUGACCUAGCUCGGAUUUUGGUGACCAUGUGGGCAAUUUGGUGGGACAGGAGAAAGGCCAUCCAUGAGAAUAAACUUAGAGCCCGCUUUCCACUAUGA
Molecule: ribosomal RNA, 438 nt
Filed under: Triticum aestivum (bread wheat)
Lineage: Eukaryota; Viridiplantae; Streptophyta; Magnoliopsida; Poales; Poaceae
Description: partial small subunit ribosomal RNA
Source: RNAcentral